CCUACGGGAGGCAGCAGUGGGGAAUUUUGCGCAAUGGGGGAAACCCUGACGCAGCGACGCCGCGUGGAGGAUGAAGGCCUUCGGGUUGUAAACUCCUCUUGUGGGGGACAAUGGUGAUGGUACCCCAUGAAUAAGCCACGGCUAACUCUGUGCCAGCAGCCGCGGUAAGACAGAGGUGGCAAGCGUUGUUCGGAAUCACUGGGCUUAAAGGGCGUGUAGGCGGCAUUGCAAGUCUGGGGUGGAAUCCGGUGGCUUAACCACCGAACUGCCCUGGAAACUGCAUUGCUUGAGUCAGUGAGGGGAGGGCGGAAUUCCCGGUGUAGCAGUGAAAUGCGUAGAUAUCGGGAGGAACACCAGUGGCGAAGGCGGCAUCCGGGCUCAUAACUGACGCUGAGUCGCGAAAGCGUGGGGAUCAAACAGGAUUAGAUACCCCUGUAGU
This 439-nucleotide ribosomal RNA is filed under the name uncultured Nitrospirales bacterium. RNAcentral describes it as "partial 16S ribosomal RNA". It matches the Rfam family "Bacterial small subunit ribosomal RNA", at positions 338 to 794 of the family's 1533-position model. The record is from RNAcentral. Lineage: Bacteria; Pseudomonadati; Nitrospirota; Nitrospiria; Nitrospirales.